GACGAACGCUGGCGGCGUGCUUAACACAUGCAAGUCGAACGAUGAAGGAGAGCUUGCUCUCCGGAUUAGUGGCGAACGGGUGAGUAACACGUGACUAACCUGCCCCUUUCUCUGGGAUAACGCUCCGAAAGGAGUGCUAAUACCGGAUACGAACUCUGAACACAUGUUCGGAGUUGGAAGGUUUUUCGGAAAGGGAUGGAGUCGCGGCCUAUCAGCUUGUUGGUGAGGUAAUGGCUCACCAAGGCGACGACGGGUAGCCGGCCUGAGAGGGCGACCGGCCACACUGGGACUGAGACACGGCCCAGACCCCUACGGGAGGCAGCAGUGGGGAAUAUUGCACAAUGGGCGAAAGCCUGAUGCAGCGACGCCGCGUGAGGGAUGAAGGUCUUCGGAUUGUAAACCUCUUUCAGUAGGGACGAAGCGAAAGUGACGGUACCUAAAGAAGAAGCACCGGCUAACUACGUGCCAGCCGCCGCCGUAA
RNAcentral lists this ribosomal RNA (481 nucleotides) under uncultured bacterium. RNAcentral's name for it is "partial 16S ribosomal RNA". It matches the Rfam family "Bacterial small subunit ribosomal RNA", at positions 28 to 523 of the family's 1533-position model. The record is from RNAcentral.